This 254-nucleotide ribosomal RNA is filed under the name uncultured bacterium. RNAcentral's name for it is "partial 16S ribosomal RNA". It matches the Rfam family "Bacterial small subunit ribosomal RNA", at positions 524 to 776 of the family's 1533-position model. The record is from RNAcentral.
UACGAAGGGGGCUAGCGUUGCUCGGAAUCACUGGGCGUAAAGGGUGCGUAGGCGGGACGGCACGUCGGUCGCUGAAAGCCCCCGGCUCAACCGGGGAACGGGCGCCGAUACGACCGGCCUGGAGGGACGUAGGGGGACCUGGAACUUCCGGUGGAGCGGUGAAAUGCGUUGAGAUCGGAAGGAACGCCCGUGGCGAAAGCGAGGUCCUGGACGUUUUCUGACGCUGAGACGCGAAAGCCAGGGGAGCGAACGGG